GGGGCCCUUGGCUGCAGAGAUAUUCCCCAGGCUGAAGGAAACCGAGUGCCUUUGACCUUUCCCAGAGUUGGUUUCUAGACCCCCGAGCAGGUGUUCCGUGUGACAGCUUGGUGGUUUUAUACCUGAUAUUCCUGACAUUUCUGCCUCAGAUCCUUUGUGUUUCAAAUUUACAGCAGAACCUGACUUCAGCCUCUCUUGCUGUCCUUCACGAGACCUGUUGCUGCAGGGAAGGCUGAACCCAUUCAUCAGCAUCCCUCAGCUGGUCCUGUCUUGGUGUUCUCCAGUGGCUCCUCCUGUGAAUCCCAGCCUGAGCAGCCCCUUGUGAUGAUUCAAGAGCUGUAGGGACCCUUGGCUUGCUCUCUGUAACAUUUCUGAUUUUGUGAAUCACUGCCAGGCAGUGCCAAAAGUCACAGCUUGCUGGGGCUCAGGUCAGAAUUCCCUGGCUGGCAAAGAUUAUUAACAUGUGGGGAAAUACAUGAAGAGUAUAUGAAAUUUGCUUUAGGAAGCAGGAAAAUGUUUGGAUCCCUGUGUGGCUCACUGUGAAGUUGUUGUAAACUUCUGAAGUGAGAAAAGGUCAAAUGAUGCUUCCUACAGUUUCUGAUUCCAUAGCAGAGGGAUGACUUGUCUGGGACACCUCAGGAAAACAACUAGACAAAAUCAGUUCUUUGAGGAGCAGAGAUUAUGAAUAUCCUUACUCAGCUGAAGUAGUUCUUGUGGAGACCAACAUCUCAGCAGCAAUUGUCACACCCUGAAGGGGCUCUGCAUUUCCUGUUUCUGCAGUGCUGUGAGGAGGAUUACAUCCCUUUCAUUGGAAUGUUGAGCCCAGUGUGGAAAUCCAGAGGACGACCUGUCCACAUCAACAGAAGGACUGGUUGCAGGACUCCAAGCAGUGUCAAAAUAAAAAGAAAGGGACAAAAAUAAAAACUCAGAAGCACAUGAAGGUUGGAAAAGACCUCCAAGAUCAGGGAGUCCAGCCUUCAAUUCAGUAUCACCAUACGCACAAGCCUGUAUCCCAGAGUGCCAUGUGUGCCAUUUUUUAGAGCACUUGCACUUUCAGGGAUACUGACUCCACCGCUUCCCUGGGGAGCCUGUGGCACACAGUGCUCAGGCACUCUGAAAUUUUUCCUCGUAUCCAAGCUGAACCUACCAUGGUGCACAGAGUGCUGCAUCCAGCUCUGGGAUCCUAGCACAGGAAGGACAGGGAGCUGCUGGAGCCAGUGCAGAGCUGGGAAACCAAGGGGAUCAAAGGGAUGGAGCAGCUUUGCUGGGAGGAAAGGCUGAGGGAAGUGGGAGUGUGUUCUGCCUGGAGAAGAGAGGCUUUGGAGUGAUGUGAUCGUGGUCCUUCACUUCCUGAAGGGAGCUUAAAGGAAUAUUGCUGAGAGACUCUUGACAAGGGCCUGCAGUGACAGGACAAGGGAGAAUGGCUUCACACUGACAGAGAGCAGCUUUAGGUUGGAUAUGAGGGAGAAAUUCUUCCCUGUGAGGGUGGUGAGGCUCUGGCACAGGGUACCCAUAGCAUCUGUGGCUGCCCCUGGGUCCCUGGAAGUGUCCAAGACCAGGUUGGAUGGGACUCCAAGCAGCCUGGGAUAGUGGAAGGUGUCCCUGUCCAUGGCAGGAGGGGUGGAACAAGAUAAUCUUUAGCGUUCCUUCCAACCCAGACCAUUCUAUUGAUUUGCCCUCAUCCUGUGCCUUGUUCCCUGGGAGCAGAGCCUGACCCCCAGCUGGCUGCACCCUCCUGUCAAGGAGGUGUGGAGAGCAAUAGGGCUCCCCUGAGCCUCCUUUUCCUCCAGGUUAAACACCCCCAGCUCCCUCAGCCACUCCUCAUCAGACUUGUGCUCCAGCCCCUUGCCCAGCUCCGUUCCCCCCUCUGGACACACUCCAGCCCCUCCAUGUCCAUCUUGCAGUGCCAGGCCCAGAACUGGACACAGCCCUUGGGGCGAGGCCUCCCCAGUGCCCACAGCAGGGGGACAGUCACUGCCCAGGUCCUGCUGGCCACACCACUGCUGACCCAGCCCAGCAGCCAUUGGCCUUCUUGCCCACCUGGGCAUGCACUAUGGACCGGCAGGCCCCGGCCCUUUCCUGCUGGGCACUUCCCAGCCACUCUUCCCCAGCCUGGAGCUGCUGGGGGUUGCUGUGACCCAGGGGUAGUACCUGGCACUCGAGAUCCUGUUCAACCUCAAGGAUAUGAAACGGGACUGGCUCUGACAGUGGGCCCUGGGACACAGCACCAGUGACCCACUGCCCGCUGGAUUAAUUCCACCACCACUCUCUGGGCCCCGCCAUGCAGGCACUUUAUUCCCAGCAAACUGGCAACCUGUUAAAUCUGUGGGCUGCAAGGACAACGCUCUCCAGGAGAGUGCUGUGGGAGCAGUGAUCAAAGGCUUUAGAAGGCCUGGGUACACAACAUCCACAGCCUUUCCCCAUCCACUGGGUGUUCACAGAAGGAGGUUGGGUCAGUCAAGCAGGACCUGCUUGAAUUUGUGCUGGCUGGGCCUGAUGCCCCAGUGGUGCAGCAUACAUGGUGUCAUUGCACUCCAGGUAAUCUGUUCCAUACCCUUCCCAGGCUCCGAGGUAUGACAGGCCUCUGGUUCCCCCAGUUGUCCUUCCAAGCCUUCUCAUAGAGGGGUGUCACAUUGGCUAUGCUCCAGUCACCCAGGAGCUCUCCAGUUCACCAGGUCUCCUGAUAAACGAUGGAGAGUGGAGCUUUGUGGGCUGCUUCACCAGCUCCCAGCAGAAGGAUGGCAUCUGCCUAGACUUGUGCAUGUCUGGGCAGCACAGCAGCUCACCAACAACUUCCUCCUGCAGUGUGGGGACUUUGUUCUGCUCCCUGUUUCUGUCUUCUGGCUCAGAGGGCUGGAUAUGCAGAGGGUAACUGGGCUUUCGGUUAAAGGCUGAGGUCAAGAAGGCAUUGAGUACCACAGCCUCUCCCUCAUCCCUGGAGGUCAUGUUCCCACCCCAGCAUGCAAUAAAGGAUGGAGAAUCUCCUUGGCCUCUUUUUGUUAUUAAUGCGCUUGGAAAAGCAUUUUUUCUUAACUUUUAUGCUGGUGGCCAGAUUGACUUCUAGCUGGACUUUUACCUUUCUAGUUUUCUCUCUGAUUAACUUUGUGACAUCCUUGUAGUUUUCCUGAGUUGCCUGACCUUUCUUCUAGAGCUGCUAAGCUCUCUGUUCUUCCCUGAGUCCCAGUGGAAGCUUGCUGUUCAUCCAGGCUAGCCUUCCCUGAACCAGCUUCCGGCACAUUGCAAGGGGCUCCUGCUCCACCUCUAUGACCUCCUUCCUGAGGAACCUCCACCUUCCUGGGCUCCCUGGCCCCUCAGGACUGCCUCCCAAGGGAUUCUCUCAACCUCUGGUCUGAACAGACCAAAGCCUGUUCUCCACACAUCCAAGUGCUCCUCUGUUUGCAAGCAGCAGAUUCCCUGGGACACCUCCCCUGGUGGGCUCGCCUGCCACCCGUGUCAGCAAGUUCUCUUCCACAUGCUCCAGGAACCUCCUGGAGUGUCUCUUGCCUGCUGCUGGGAUUCCAGCAGACCCCUGAUCAUGAUGGCUGUCUCAGGAGAGCAGGCUCUGGCUGGAGAAAGAAUGCUCAGGAUGCCCAGCUGCCUCCUAAAGCUGACCAGGGUGGUGCUGAGCCACAAGCCCUGUGCCCUGUUUAUCCUCAUCUUUGUGUUCGUAUCCUUUGCCUACAUCAAGUUGUACUGGGGCAUUGAGGAGGACCCAAAGAGCCACGGCCCCACCUACAGCUUGUCUGCUGAGAUCGGCUGUGCUCACCAUGUGCCUUCUCCCCUCAUCACUGCUGGUGGGCCCUCUCCUUCCGCAGGAAACGUGUUUUUUGUGGAGACCUCGGAGCAAACUUCCCCAAGUUACCUGUUCUUGUGCUCUGUGGAGUCAGCAGCCAGGUCACACCCCACGUCACGGGUCGUGGUGCUCAUGAAAGGCUUGGCCAAAGGGAACGCCUCCUUGCCCAAACACUGGGCUUUCUCCUUGCUGAGCUGCUUCCCCAAUGUGGAAAUCCAGCCCCUGGACUUGACAGAGCUCUUUUCUGGAACACCUCUGGCACAGUGGUUCCUGCAGCCUCAGCGGCAACAGGAGCCUCAUUUUUUACAUGUCCUCUCUGACGCCUGCCGAAUUGUCCUCAUGUGGAAAUUUGGUGGCAUCUACCUGGAUACAGACUUCAUUGUGCUUAAGAACUUACAGAACCUCACCAAUGCCCUCGGCAUUCAGGAUGACAGUGAACUGAAUGGGGCCUUUCUGUCCUUUAAGGCCAAGCACAAGUUCAUGGAGCUUUGCAUGCAGGACUUUGUGCAGAAUUACAAUGGCUGGGUCUGGGGGCACCAGGGCCCAGGGCUCCUAACUCGCGUCUUCAAGAAGUGGUGCUCCCUUGAGACUAUCAAGAGCAUGAGCUGCAAAGGUGUGAGUGCUCUUUCCCGAGAAGUUGUUUAUCCUAUUCCCUGGCAGAACUGGAAGAAGUUGUUUGAGGCAGUCACUGCCUUGGAGCUUCAGGAGCUCCUUAAGAGCACCUAUGCAGUGCACAUAUGGAACAAACUGAGCCAUGAGACCAAGUUAGAGAUCCCCUCCCAGGCUCUCCUGGCUCAGCUCUAUUCCCAGUUCUGCCCUGCCACCUACACAAAGAUGAAACAGGACUCUGAAGAGUUGUCAAGGCGUGCAGUGUGACCUGGGGGCCCUUGGCUGCAGAGAUAUUCCCCAGGCUGAAGGAAACCGAGUGCCUUUGACCUUUCCCAGAGUUGGUUUCUAGACCCCCGAGCAGGUGUUCCGUGUGACAGCUUGGUGGUUUUAUACCUGAUAUUCCUGACAUUUCUGCCUCAGAUCCUUUGUGUUUCAAAUUUACAGCAGAACCUGACUUCAGCCUCUCUUGCUGUCCUUCACGAGACCUGUUGCUGCAGGGAAGGCUGAACCCAUUCAUCAGCAUCCCUCAGCUGGUCCUGUCUUGGUGUUCUCCAGUGGCUCCUCCUGUGAAUCCCAGCCUGAGCAGCCCCUUGUGAUGAUUCAAGAGCUGUAGGGACCUUGGCUUGCUCUCUGUGGCAUUUGAAAUUUUCACAGAAUAUUCUUUGUUGGAAGGGACCUGCAGCCAUCUUGGGUCCAACCCCUGGCCCUGCCUGUGGACAGGACACUCCAACAAUCUUGUCCUGCGAAUGAGAGCGUCAUCAUUGGGGCCCUGAGCCCCCCCUGGGGAUCCUGUUCAGUGUCUUGCCACUGUCUGGGGGAAGAACCUUUUCCUGAUAUCCACCCUGACCCUCCCCUGACACAGCUCCAGCCAUGCCCUCGGUUCCUGUCCCUGGUCACGCAGAGCAGCGAUCAGGGCCUGCCCUUCCUCUUCCCCUUUUGAGGAAGCUGCAGAGCUGCUGUGAGCUCUGACCUCAGUCUGCUCUUCUCCAGCUGAACAGACCAAGUGCCCUCAGCUGCUCCGUGUGUGGCUUCACUUCCAAGCCCUUCACCAUCUCCAAAACCGUACUUUGGACACUCAAACAGCUUUAGAUCUUUCUUUUAUUGUGGCACCCAAAUCCACACAUAAUAUUCAAGGUGAGGCCGCCCCAGCCCAGAGCCUGGCCAGCGAUGCUAGGCCGAGUGCCCCAGGACAGGGCUGUCCCUCCUGGCUGCAAGGGCACUACUGGCUCAUGUCCAACUGGCCAUCAACCCCUAUUGUAUUGCACUAAAUAGUUUAUUUAGUUGUUGUUUUGCACUGGGUUGGUAUUUUGCACUGAAUAGUAUCAUGGGAUUCCCCUCUUAUAUCACAUGGUCUUUCCCUCCCCAAGCUCUGCUGGUGGUCUCUUCCCAGGUUACUCCCUCCCCUCACCCUCCCAUCCCUGAUAUCCCAUUGGCUGUGUUCCCUCUUCUCUGCCCCCCUUCCCCUGGGUUUAAAAUCCCCCCUUUUCACACAGUCAGUCUCUUUUUUCCUCUGGUCAUCUUGACCUCCCUUGGACCCCCUGGAGUAAUUCCACAAUAAAGCUGUGGGAUUUUUGGUCCCUAGGAGAAGAGCGCCUCAAGUCUUUCACUUUUGUCCUUGUAUUGCUGUGAGGGGCCAGGAUCCAAAGCUAGCCAGAUUGGACCCGAAAGACCCCGAGAGAUCAGCUUUACAAAUCCCCAGGUCCCUUUCCACAACACUGCUCUCCAGCCUCUCAUUCCCAGUCUGUCUGUACAUCCAGGGCUGUCAUAUCCCAGGUGCAGAAUCCAGCCCUUGCCUUUGUUAACGUCACACAAUUGGUGAUUGCCCAGCCCUGUCAUUUGUCCAGGGCUCUCUGCAGAGCCUCUUCACCCUUGAGGUAGUCAACAGCUCCUUCCAGUUUUCUAUCAUCUGCAAGCUUACUUAGUAUGCCUUUCUGUCCUGCAUUCAAGCUUUUUAUGAGGAUUUUUAAGAGAAUGGGGCCUAAGAGAGCACCAUGUGGAACCCCAGAAGUGAUAGGCUGCCAGUCUGCUGCCACCCAGAUACUGUCAUUCUUUGUGCUUGACCCAUAAGCAAGUUGCUCAGCCAUCACACGAUGUGUUUAUCUAGCUGUGGGCUGCACGCUGAGAUAGAUAAUAUCCAAAGCUUUACUGAAAUCCAAAAAGAUUACACCUACUGAUGUUUUUUUAUCAACUGGGUGGGUUACUUUAGCAUAAAAAGAAAUUAGUUUUGGAAAGCAGGACUUUCCUCUCAUGAUGUGCUGGCUCUGACCAAUGACUGUGUUGUCCUUCAGGUGUUUUUCAGUACCUCCCAGAAUAAUGAUCAUCAUCUCCAUAAUUUUAGCAGGCACUGGAGUGAGAUUGACAGGCCUGUAGCUUCCAGGGUCAUCCUUCUUGCCCUUUGAAUACUGGGACCUCUCCAAAUUCUCAAGACUGUUCAAAAAUUAUCAAGAGAUGCCUCAUGAUGAUAUCAGCCAGCUCUUUAUUCUCACAUUAAUCCUGUCAUACCCCAUAGACCUAUAGGGAUCCAGCUGGAGCAGCAGAUCCCUCACACCUUCAGGGUUAACUCAGAGUUUAUCAUUCUCAUAGUCACAGUCCUCCAGCUCAGGGUGCUGGGACCUCCUUAAUCCAUCAUCAGUGUUGAAGACAGAGGCAAAGAAAGCAUUAAACAUCUCUACCUUCUCCAUGGCCCUGUUUGUGAGGUGACCAUCCUCAUCCUGUAAUGGGCUGAUGUCAUUUCAGCACUGCCUUUUGCCAUUUAUGUAUUUUUAAACCCUCUUUCUAUUGUCCCCCACAUUUCUGAUGGCUUCACCUGCAGUGGAGCUUUGGCCACACAAGUUCUCCCCCUACAGUGGUAAGCAGCAUCUCCAUAUUCCUUCCACAUCACCUGACUUUGCUUCCACUGGGCAUACCCCUUCCUUUUUUACCUUAUUUCCAAAAGAAGAUUCCUGUUCAGCCAAGGUGGCCUUCUGCCUCAUCUGCUUGAUUUCCAAUUUCUAGGAAUUGCCUGUUCCUGUGCCCUGAGGAGCUGGUGCUUAAAAGGUGGCCACAGCCCUGAUGGACCCCAGGACUUUCAAAAGCAUUUUCCCAGGUGUGUUGGUUCUCAAAUCUCAAAAUCUCAAAUUUUGAGAAAAAAACACCCUCAAUUUUUUUCUCAAAAUAUCAAAUUCAAGAUUUCAAAAAUCUGAAAUUGAUGAACCAAAACCACUACACCAGGGGACUUUACUUACUGGUUCCCUGAGCAGCCUGAAGUCGCUUCCUCCCAUGUCCAGGGUUGAAGUUUUGUUGGCACUUUUCCUCCUGUCACCAGAUAUUUUAAACUCGAUGGGUUCAUCACCGCUGUGGCCAAGACAGCCACCUAUCUCCACUCAAGAGGAUCAUAUGAUCCUCUCUGUUGACAAGCAACAAAUCAAGGAGGGAGGGAUCUUUCUGAGUCAGCCCUCUUAGUACCUGUAGCAUGAAGUUGACAUCCAGGUGUUUCAGGAAUACAUAGGGAGUAUAUGAAAAUUGUGUUAAAGAAAGAAUAUUUUACGGCCUACUGUGGAUCUGAUGAACAUCUCCUCACCUAAAUGUGUUCCCUGUGUGUCCAGGUCAUUGUAUUGUAAUAAUGCACUUGAAAUUAACCUCUUAUGGAAUGAGAAGAGAUUAAAACAUCCUGGAGUUCUGCCUGUGCCAAAUCAAAGCCUCUGUCUGGAAGCAUAUUCCUCCAGCCUCCCUAUGUCCAGUGGAAGAGAAGCCCCGCACCUGAGCAUACCAACUUCAUCACCACAGUUUGCUGUCAUCUGCAAAACUGGAAGGGUUGCACACUAGUUGUUCCUUCUCCAGCUCACAGAUAGAGAGAUGAAAUAUUACAGGACCCAAGACAAACAUCUGAAAGACUCCACUUGUAACCAAGGUCCAGGUAAGUGUGAACCAUUUGUGUUCUUUGUACCAUUCCCUCUCCUAAGGGAUGCUUUUCCCACUGGACAUGACAAAGCAUAGGCAACUUUUUAAGCAAAAGGCCCUUUUGCAGGCACCUUUUCCUGCAGCACCACCUGCCCUUAAUCCUGACUUGGCAAUUGGUUACCUGCACAUCAAUUGUGUAGUCUUUCCCAGGCCUAAGGCGAUGAACAUCUGCAUCCCACAUCUCACUGAAAAGCUUAGAAAGUUCACAAUUUGGGGCCUUCCUGCCAAGAAAUACAGAAGAAUGCAUGUAAGGCACAAAAAAAGGCACGUGCUGUUAUUUCUGCAAGUCACUUGCAGAGUCUUCUAAUGCCUCUCCAUGUUCUGGAUAUCAGCCUGGCAUCAAGUUUCUCUUUCUCCCCACACCUUCUUGUAAAAACCACAAUACUUAUGGUCCACAUUCCUUUUUAAAGAAUGCAGGUAACUUGUAAGGAAACUUGAGUCUUCCCUUAGACUGUCAGACAACAAAGUUCUUGUUGAUAAGUUCCUGUGGUUUUCCAUGCAAUGAAACAAAAAAGAAGAUGGUGGUGUUUCAUUCCCAAGGAUUCUGUGCAACCAGAGGCAAGCAGGAGAUUGUUCCCACCAUGCAGCAACACUGCCAACAGAACAGGAAGCAAAAAAUUCUCCCUAUGAUGCUUUUCUCACAGCAAUCUUAUAAACUCUUCCCUUCUUCCUUCAAUCAAGAUUCCUCACAGAAUGUUUUCCUUUGCCAUGGUAUUAUCCUAGCAUAAAGGUAGUGGUGACAAAGGGUAAGUAAGGCUUUAAAUGCCAUGUCUGCAUACAAUAAAAAUCCCUCAUGCACUGAUCUGUGAUGCACAUACCUACCCAAGCUUCUCCUUCCCUAAUUUUUAAUGGAGUCUUGUCCUGCAUAAUAGUGUUCAGUUUUCAGAAGUCUGUCCAUUCGUCUGUCAACAAAAUUUAGGUAGGGUUGUGCAUUGUUUUUGCAUGGCCUGGUUUUUGGUAGCUGGGGGGGCACAGAGGUGGCUUCUGUGAGAAGCUGCUGGGAGCUUCCACUGUGUCCAGCAGAGCCAAUCCCCAGUGGCUCUGAAGAAGGACAUGCUGCUGGCCAAGGCUGGGCCAGUUAGAGGUGAUGGUGAGGCCUCUGUCAUAACAGAUCUAAGAAGAAAAUCAGCACAAAUUUGGCACAGUUCUAUUCCUAGCCAGAGAAGAGGAGGAACUGAGAAUAUGUGCGGGAAACAAGAUGGUGACACCAAGGCCAGUGCAGAAGCAGGCGAGGAGAUGCACCCAGGCACCAGAGCCAAGGUUCCUCUGCAGGCCAUGGUGAGAUCAUGAUGAAGCAUCUGUGCCCCUGCAGCCCACAGGGAUCCACAGGGGAUGCAGAGAUCCAUCCACAUCCAUGGGGGAGGUUGCCAUGCUGGAGCAGGCACCUGGAGGAGGCCAUGAUCCAGUGGAAUACCCGCUGGAAAGAGGGGGCCCUUGAUCCUAAGCUGGAACAGUCUGUCUUUGGAGGACUGCACCCCAUGGAAAGAGAGACCCACAUUGCAGCAGUUUUGGGAGGACUGUCUGCCAUGGGAGGGACUCACUGUGCAGCAGUUUUGGGAGAACUGCUGCUUGUGAGAUUUGGACCCACACUGGAGGAGUUCAUCGAGAACUGGUGAGAAGGAACACCACAGUCUCACAGGGGAAAGACUCCUCUUCCUGAGCAGCAGCAGAAGGUCUUGGGUGAUGAACUAACCAAAAACCCCCAUGCCCUGUCUCCCUGCACUGUUGGUGGAAGGAGGGAGGGGCUUGGGGAAAAAAUGUGUUUUACUGGCUUAUUUUGCUUCUCAUUAUCUUCCUCUGACUCUGUUGGUAAUAAAUUCACUUUGUACUUUUAAGUUGA
This is an RNA transcript of Haemorhous mexicanus (house finch), 10181 nucleotides long. It is a transcript of the gene named alpha 1,4-galactosyltransferase (P blood group), with no coding region annotated. NCBI's taxonomy places the organism in Eukaryota, Metazoa, Chordata, Aves, Passeriformes, Fringillidae. The record is from RefSeq and is a predicted model, not a curated record. The transcript is spliced from 4 exons.